Molecule: ribosomal RNA, 484 nt
Filed under: uncultured bacterium
Lineage: Bacteria
Description: partial 16S ribosomal RNA
Rfam family: Bacterial small subunit ribosomal RNA
Source: RNAcentral
AUUGAACGCUGGCGGCAGGCCUAACACAUGCAAGUCGAGCGGAUGAAGGGAGCUUGCUCCUGGAUUCAGCGGCGGACGGGUGAGUAAUGCCUAGGAAUCUGCCUGGUAGUGGGGGAUAACGUCCGGAAACGGGCGCUAAUACCGCAUACGUCCUGAGGGAGAAAGUGGGGGAUCUUCGGACCUCACGCUAUCAGAUGAGCCUAGGUCGGAUUAGCUAGUUGGUGGGGUAAAGGCGUACCAAGGCGACGAUCCGUAACUGGUCUGAGAGGAUGAUCAGUCACACUGGAACUGAGACACGGUCCAGACUCCUACGGGAGGCAGCAGUGGGGAAUAUUGGACAAUGGGCGAAAGCCUGAUCCAGCCAUGCCGCGUGUGUGAAGAAGGUCUUCGGAUUGUAAAGCACUUUAAGUUGGGAGGAAGGGCAGUAAGUUAAUACCUUGCUGUUUUGACGGUACCAAAAGAAUAAGCACCGGCUAACUUCGUG